AACGAACGCUGGCGGCGCGCCUAAUACAUGCAAGUCGAGCGAGAAGACGUAGCAAUACGUUUGUAAAGCGGCGAACGGGUGAGGAAUACAUGGGUAACCUACCCUCGAGUGGGAAUAACUAGCCGAAAGGUUAGCUAAUACCGCGUACGCUCCUCGGACUUCGGUUCAGGGAGGAAAGCGAUACCGUGGGUAUCGCGCUCUUGGAUGGGCUCAUGUCCUAUCAGCUUGUUGGUGAGGUAACGGCUCACCAAGGCUUCGACGGGUAGCUGGUCUGAGAGGACGAUCAGCCACACUGGCACUGCGACACGGGCCAGACUCCUACGGGAGGCAGCAGUAAGGAAUAUUGCGCAAUGGGCGAAAGCCUGACGCAGCGACGCCGCGUGGGGGAGUGAA
RNAcentral lists this ribosomal RNA (393 nucleotides) under uncultured bacterium. RNAcentral describes it as "bacterial SSU rRNA". It matches the Rfam family "Bacterial small subunit ribosomal RNA", at positions 29 to 413 of the family's 1533-position model. The record is from RNAcentral.